AUGCCGCGUGCCUCCGUCCGCCCGCCGCCGUCGGAGCAGGGCCCGAGCUCCUCCCCCUCCACCCCGGCGGCGGAUUCCUCCGUCGCGGCCCUCAUCGACCGCGCCACCUCCACCACGGCCCCCUCCGUCGACCCCGCGCUCCUCCGCGCCAUCAAGUCCUCGGCGCGCGCCUCCCACGGCGCCGUCCGCGACGCCUUCCGCCUCCUCCUCUCCCUCAUGGCCAAGCCCCACUCCCACGUGCGGCUCCUGGCCUUCAGCAUCGUGGACGAGCUCUUCAUGCGCUCCAAGCUCUUCCGCUCCCUCCUCGCCGACGCGCUCGACGGAUUCGUCCCGCUGGCCGUCGGCUUCCGCACCAACGAGCAGCUCCCGCCGCCCGCCGCCUCGGCGGCCACGCUCCGGAAGGCCGCCAUCCAGGCGCUCGAGCGCUGGCACCACCUCUUCGGCGUGCACUACCGCCAGCUACGUCUCGCGGUCGAGUACCUCAAGUCGUCCGCGCGCAUCCAGUUCCCUGGUCUCCGCGCGGCCGUCGAGGCCCGUGCCGCGCGGGAGGCACGCACGCAGGAGAUCUUGACUGCCAAGGUCGAACAGUUGCGGUCCACGAUUGAAUCCAUAAAGGCUGAAAUCCGGUCCACCAUCCAAGAGAUCCGCAACGGGCUGGACAUCAUCCGGGCUGAGUAUGAGAAAUUCGAGCGUUAUGUGGACGAUGACGAGGAGGAGGAGAUUGCUUCUAUGGCGAUGCGGAGUAUCAGGACAGCAUCGUUGAUGGCCGGGCAGUGGGUGCCUGAAACUCAGGAAAACGAGGCGGUUUUUGAUGCAUUGAGGGAGGCGUACCGGCUCCUUGUAUCGAAGCAUUUCAGCACCAUUCAGGAUUGGAUAUCUGUGCUUGUUAGGGUCAAUCUUGCAGAUAAUCGCUUCAGAGAUUCUGCGCUCAAGGAAUUUAUCGAUGUUAAGAAUGAAAUACGCGCUGUAAGAGGCCAGUGCAAUGAGCUUGGUCUUGAUCUUGAUAAUGUUCGUAGGAAGAAGGAUGUUCAGGAGGAAGAUGAAGAGGAUUGGGUGGAGGGAAAGAUUGAAGUUCCUAGUCCUCCUAGAGUUGUGAGCACUCUAGAUGUUGCAGGUUCCAGCAAGGACAAUAGGAAGGGAAAGAGGAUUCUGAAUGGAGCCAAUGGUGACAUGCCAAUUUGUGGUAAUAGAUCUCAGGAGAUGGAUCCGGAGAGAAAAAAGCUCCUUUCCGAAGCCCCUUUGGUGUCAUGGAGCUCUGUCUUGGAUCGGUGGGGUUCAAAUAUGGAUGCACAUGUGAACCAGAGAGGGCUUGAGCUCGAGAGCCAUUGGGGGAGGAUGGAUAAUGAUGCUGUUAUACCUGCAGCAAAGAUUGCAGAGUUAAACGUUCACCAUUCUGUUUAUAAAGAAGAGCCAGUUGAGAUACUACCAUGUCAUGCACCUCUGAAGAAAGGAGGUCUUUGCCAGAGAAGGGAUCUCAAGAUAUGCCCUUUUCAUGGGCCCAUCAUCCCACGUGAUGCAAGAGGAAAUCCAAUUGGGAAAAUUAGUGGCAGUUCUGAUGCGGGAGGCGAUCCACUUGAGCAGAAAGUAGAAAUUCGUGAGGCAGGAGGAAAUCUGAUAAAGACAAAUGGAGGUAGUGAUAGUGAAAGUACACAGGAGGAUCAGGAGCCCUCUACUUCAAUGAUGACAAACAUAAAUAAUGACACCAGCGACAUUGACGGAGCGCAUGAUUUGAGUAAAAUUACAAUGGAACAGUUGGCGAUGCAAGCAAGUAAGAAUGUUCGGAAAAGGGGUAUGGACGACAAAGCACGCGAAAGAGCCCAGCGUGCGAGAAUCCGCCAGCACAAUGAAGAUGUUCUGCGGCAAUCGGCUAUUGCUUCAACACCCCACUCAGCGGCAGCAUAUGACCAGCCUUCUGGAACAUUGGGCCUACGUGGUCGACGUCGAGGUAAGACAAAGGAACCUACACUAUCAUCAAUGCUGAAGAAGAAAGUUACUGCAAAAGAUAGGAUUGCAGGGAGGCUUCUAAAUGGUCGUGCUAGGGACGCAACAAUAAGAGAAGCUUCUAAUACUGAGGAUAUGACCUACAGGGAAGCAUUCCCAAAUCAGUGGCAGUGA
This 2115-nucleotide ribosomal RNA is filed under the name Triticum aestivum (bread wheat). RNAcentral's name for it is "partial small subunit ribosomal RNA". The record is from RNAcentral. Lineage: Eukaryota; Viridiplantae; Streptophyta; Magnoliopsida; Poales; Poaceae.